Molecule: ribosomal RNA, 438 nt
Filed under: uncultured bacterium
Lineage: Bacteria
Description: bacterial SSU rRNA
Rfam family: Bacterial small subunit ribosomal RNA
Source: RNAcentral
UACGGAAGGCAGCGAGUGGGGAAUAUUGCACAAUGGGCGAAAGCCUGAUGCAGCUAUGCCGCGUGUAUGAAGAAGGCCUUAGGGUUGUAAAGUACUUUCAUCGGGGAGGAAAAACAAAACUAAUAAUUUUAUUUCUUGACGUUACCCGAAAAAGAAGCACCGGCUAACUCCGUGCCAGCAGCCGCGGUAAUACGGAGGGUGCUAGCGUUAAUCAGAAUUACUGGGCGUAAAGAGCACGUAGGUGGUUUUUUUAAAGUCAAGAUGUGAAAUCCCUGGGCUUAACCUUAGGAACUGCAUUUUGAAACUGAAAUACUAGAGUAUCGUAGAGGGAGGUAGAAUUCUAGGUGUAGCGGUGAAAAUGCGUAGAUAUCUGGAGGAAUACCUGUGGCGAAAAGCGGCCUCCUAAACGAAAUACUGACACUGAGGGUGCGAAAAGCG